AACCCAAAUGGUAGUGGGUUAUCAGAACUUAUUAACAUUAGUAUCAUUAAAGUUGGUAUACGACCCCCUCUCACUGCUAAAUUUGACUGGCUUUAA
Molecule: Y RNA, 96 nt
Organism: Callithrix jacchus (white-tufted-ear marmoset)
Lineage: Eukaryota; Metazoa; Chordata; Mammalia; Primates; Cebidae
Rfam family: Y RNA
About the family: Y RNAs are components of the Ro ribonucleoprotein particle (Ro RNP), in association with Ro60 and La proteins. The Y RNAs and Ro60 and La proteins are well conserved, but the function of the Ro RNP is not known.
Source: Ensembl